GUUGAAGAGGUAUUUCCAGUAAAACAAGGAUUGAAAC
This 37-nucleotide non-coding RNA is filed under the name Acetivibrio thermocellus ATCC 27405. The record is from RNAcentral. Lineage: Bacteria; Bacillati; Bacillota; Clostridia; Acetivibrionales; Acetivibrionaceae.